RNAcentral lists this ribosomal RNA (1031 nucleotides) under Atractides nodipalpis. RNAcentral describes it as "partial large subunit ribosomal RNA". It matches the Rfam family "Eukaryotic large subunit ribosomal RNA", at positions 405 to 1241 of the family's 3401-position model. The record is from RNAcentral. Lineage: Eukaryota; Metazoa; Arthropoda; Arachnida; Trombidiformes; Hygrobatidae.
CCGUUUGCAGGGAAACAGAUAGACCCACGAAGUCCAGUUGGUUAAGAGAUUCAAAUUACUUUUAAAGCAUUAUUGAUUAUUCAAGUAUUUGAGUAGUUUUUAAAAGCUUUAAAUGUGAUGCAUUUCUCUUAAUCACGAUGGAGCUCUGACUCCUUGCAAUUACUUGAUCGUUUAAGGCAAGCCUUUAAUGUGGUAGAUUCUUUUUGAGUCCUCACUUUAAGGGUUAACGUGAGAGUAUUGGCAAGGAGUUGAAUUACUUACAUUUGUAAGUGUUCAGUUUGUCUGUUGUAUUUGAGUGUAGAAUAUGUUAUAUAUGUGUUUUUGUACUCUCCGAGUGAAAACCGCAUUUUAUAAGAUGUUCAUAUACAUUUAAGUAUUGCAAAUGAUAAUCCAGAGUAAGUAGGUCGGUCAUCUAUCUGACCCGUCUUGAAACACGGACCAAGGAGCCCAACAAUUGCGCGAGUCGCUCGGUCUUGAAUAGGCCUGAGAGGCGAAAUAAACAUGAUGGUAUGAUCUCUCAAAGCCUUUCGAGGUUAGAGAGCGCAAUACCGACCUGCUUUAUUUGCUUUUUGCAAAAAAGUGGCGUUUGAGCGUAAUUGUUGGUACCCGAAAGAUGGUGAACUAUACUUGGGCAAGACGAAGCCAGAGGAAACUCUGGUGGAGGUCUGUAGCGAUUCUGACGUGCAAAUCGAUCGUCAGACCUGAGUAUAGGGGCGAAAGACUAAUCGAACCAUCUAGUAGCUGGUUCCCUCCGAAGUUUCCCUCAGGAUAGCUAGUACCAAACUCUGUAGCAUCCGGUAAAGCGAAUGAUUAGAGGUAUUGGGAUCGAAACGAUCUCAACCUAUUCUCAAACUUUAAAUGGGUGCGAAGCAUGACUUUUUUAACUAAAGUCUUGCUUUGUAAGAGUGGUACUAAGUGGGCCAUUUUUGGUAAGCAGAACUGGCGAUGUGGGAUGAACCAAUCGUAGAGUUAAGGCACCAAAUGCCGACGCUCAUGAGACCCCAUGAAAGGUGUUGGUUGCUUCAGACAGC